AGUGAACGCUGGCGGUAGGCCUAACACAUGCAAGUCGAACGGCAGCACAGUAAGCGCUUGCUCUUACGGGUGGCGAGUGGCGGACGGGUGAGGAAUACAUCGGAAUCUACUUUUUCGUGGGGGAUAACGUAGGGAAACUUACGCUAAUACCGCAUACGUCCUACGGGUGAAAGCAGGGGAUCUUCGGACCUUGCGCGAUUGAAUGAGCCGAUGUCGGAUUAGCUAGUUGGCGGGGUAAAGGCCCACCAAGGCGACGAUCCGUAGCUGGUCUGAGAGGAUGAUCAGCCACACUGGAACUGAGACACGGUCCAGACUCCUACGGGAGGCAGCAGUGGGGAAUAUUGGACAAUGGGCGCAAGCCUGAUCCAGCCAUACCGCGUGGGUGAAGAAGGCCUUCGGGUUGUAAAGCCCUUUUGUUGGGAAAGAAAAGCAGCAGGUUAAUACCCCGCUGUUCUGACGGUACCCAAAGAAUAAGCACCGGCUAACUUCGUG
RNAcentral lists this ribosomal RNA (492 nucleotides) under uncultured bacterium. Its description in RNAcentral is "partial 16S ribosomal RNA". It matches the Rfam family "Bacterial small subunit ribosomal RNA", at positions 29 to 507 of the family's 1533-position model. The record is from RNAcentral.